This 784-nucleotide ribosomal RNA is filed under the name uncultured archaeon. RNAcentral's name for it is "bacterial SSU rRNA". It matches the Rfam family "Archaeal small subunit ribosomal RNA", at positions 1 to 786 of the family's 1478-position model. The record is from RNAcentral.
UUCCGGUUGAUCCUGCCGGAGGUCAUUGCUAUCGGAGUCCGAUUUAGCCAUGCUAGUCGUGCGAGUUCACACUCGCGGCACCGAGCUCAGUAACACGUGGCCAAACUACCCUACAGAGACGGAUACCCUCGGGAAACUGAGGCUAACCCGUCAUACCGAUCUCAGGCUUGAACUGCAGAGAUCACUAAAUGCCCCGGCGCUGUAGGAUGUGGCUGCGGUUGAUUAGGUUGACGGUGGGGUAACGGCCCACCGUGCCCAUAAUCAGUACAGGUUGUGAGAGCAAGAACCUGGAGACGGAAUCUGAGACAAGAUUCCGGGCCCUACGGGGCGCAGCAGGCGCGAAACCUUUACACUGCACGCACGUGCGAUAAGGGGACUCCGAGUGCGAGGGCAUAUCGUCCUCGCUUUCGUGUACCGUAGGGUGGUACACCAACAAGGGCUGGGCAAGACCGGUGCCAGCCGCCGCGGUAAUACCGGCAGCCCGAGUGAUGACCGAUCUUAUUGGGCCUAAAGCGUCCGUAGCUGGCUGCGCAAGUCCGUCGGGAAAUCCACUCGCUCAACGAGUGGGCGUCCGACGGAAACUGCACAGCUUGGGACCGGAAGGCCCGAAGGGUACGUGCGGGGUAGGAGUGAAAUCCCAUAAUCCCGCACGGACCACCGAUGGCGAAAGCACUUCGAGAAAACGGAUCCGACAGUGAGGGACGAAAGCCAGGGUCUCCAACCGGAUUAGAUACCCGGGUAGUCCUGGCCGUAAACAAUGUUCGCUAGGUAUGACACAGACUAC